CCUACGGGAGGCAGCAGUGGGGAAUAUUGCACAAUGGGGGAAACCCUGAUGCAGCGACGCCGCGUGAGUGAAGAAGUACUUCGUUAUGUAAAGCUCUAUCAGCAGGGAAGAAAAUGACGGUACCUGAGUAAGAAGCCCCGGCUAACUACGUGCCAGAAGCCGCGGUAAGACGUAGGGGACAAGCGUUAUCCGGAUUUACGGGGUGUAAAGGGAGCGUAGACGGCAGUGCAAGUCUGGAGUGAAAGGCGGGGGCUCAACCCCCGGACUGCUAUGGAAACUGUACGGCUGGAGUGCAGGAGAGGUGAGAGGAAUUCCUGGUGUAGCGGUGAAAUGCGUAGAUAUUAGGAGGAACACCAGUGGCGAAGGCGGCUUACUGGACUGUAACUGACGUUGAGGCUCGAAAGCGUGGGGAGCAAACAGGAUUAGAUACCCUUGUAGUC
Molecule: ribosomal RNA, 440 nt
Filed under: uncultured bacterium
Lineage: Bacteria
Description: partial 16S ribosomal RNA
Rfam family: Bacterial small subunit ribosomal RNA
Source: RNAcentral